CUCCCACCUCUCUUCUCAUCCACAAAAUACUAACAUAAAAGUCAAAGUCCCUGAGACCAAUACUUUCACCAAACAGCAAAACAAGAAGAACAACAACACUAAGCAAAAAAGAAAAGCUCAAGCCGAGAGAGACAAUGGCAUCAACAUUCACGAGCUCAAGCAGUGUUCUUACCCCAACAACAUUCCUUGGCCAGACUAAAGCCUCAAGCUUUAACCCCCUUCGUGAUGUUGUCUCUCUCGGAUCUCCCAAGUACACUAUGGUCUGUUUUCUUUUUGGUCUUAAUCUCGUCAUAUUAAAGGUGUUUCAUCUUUCUUCUUGAGUUUGUGUCUGACUUUCACGUAAAAUGUCUAUGUGAAGGGAAAUGAUCUUUGGUAUGGACCUGACAGAGUGAAGUACUUAGGACCCUUUUCCGUUCAAACUCCGUCUUACCUCACCGGAGAAUUCCCUGGCGAUUAUGGUUGGGACACCGCCGGUUUAUCCGCAGACCCUGAAGCCUUUGCCAAAAACAGAGCUCUUGAGGUUAGUCUCUAAAUCUCACUCACUCAAUGUAAAAACAGAGUAAAUAACUAAUCAUCAUUUGCAGGUGAUCCAUGGGAGAUGGGCAAUGUUGGGAGCUUUUGGUUGCAUAACCCCUGAAGUUCUUCAAAAGUGGGUCCGUGUGGACUUCAAAGAACCAGUCUGGUUCAAAGCCGGUUCACAAAUCUUCUCCGAAGGCGGUUUGGACUACUUAGGCAACCCAAACCUAGUCCAUGCUCAGAGCAUUUUAGCCGUCCUUGGCUUCCAAGUCAUCCUCAUGGGUUUGGUUGAAGGUUUCCGCAUCAACGGUCUUGAUGGUGUUGGCGAAGGCAACGACUUGUACCCCGGUGGGCAAUACUUUGACCCGUUGGGUCUCGCUGAUGAUCCAGUUACUUUUGCUGAGCUUAAGGUGAAAGAGAUCAAGAACGGAAGAUUGGCUAUGUUCUCUAUGUUUGGCUUCUUUGUUCAAGCCAUUGUUACUGGAAAAGGUCCUUUGGAGAAUCUCCUUGACCAUCUUGACAACCCUGUUGCUAACAAUGCGUGGGCUUUCGCAACUAAGUUUGCACCUGGAGCUUAAAUUUUCAAGUCUUGAUGUGAUUCUUGUAAUGAUAUGAACAUAACCUUUCUUGUUCCUCUCAAAUUACAAAUCUUCUAUUUGCUAUGCACAGAAGAAGUCUCAAAAAUACAUGUCUCUCACAGCUAAAUCUACAAUGCUCUUAAUCUAACAUUUUGGGAUCGUGAUACUAAUACAAAGCUAAGUGGAUGAAGAUUCCACACACACUAAUAAGUAAUAAGACCCCUAGCCUCUUUUUCCCCACCAUUUCCGGUGACGACCUUUAUCACCAUCUACUCUAUGGAGUCUUGCUUUAGUAUCUCUUAAUCUAGCUUUGUAAUCUUUCUUCCAUGUCUCAAAUCUUAGCUUCAGUCUCCUAAAUUCAUCUUCUGGAUGUUGCUGUUGCUGCCCGUUUGGAGUUGCCUGAGGUCCGAGCUUCACCUCCACAAUAGCUCUUGCAUCUUCAUCGAAAUUGAGUCUCCUUUGGUCAAACUCUCUUGCAAGAUGAUUAACCGCAUUCAAACUUCCGUUGAGCUCUCUGAUUCUGAGUUCAGGAGUGUUUCCGUUUGUGAACUUAUUAGUAGGAGUUCUUACUCCCGGAGUUCCAGUAGACAUCGUGUCCUCUGAGUCAUAACCGAAAGGUGAUAUCGAUGUGUCUUGUCUUCCUCCUGCUUGACCCGUAAUGCUCUCUGCAGCUAGACUCUUUCUAGCGGCGGCAAGACUCAUCUGCAAAAAGACAUGAUGCAAAAACAUUUCAGAAAACUUUGCUGAUGCAGUAAGUGAAUGGACUUUCAUAACCAGGUAAACAUUUGACCUGCAAUGAUGACAUUUGCUUUUGCCAUGUUUCCUCCAUUGACUUCAUCUUUAUAUCAUACUCUGACCAUCUCUCCUCAAAUUGCCUCAACUGCUCUCUCAAAGCUGUGUUUUCUUCUUCCUUCUGCGAUAAAGCUGCUUCAGAUUUCAAAAUCCGUUUCUGGAGAUCAGACAUAGAUGUUGGUUGAACUUGUGGCUGCUCCAGAGGAAUAUCCUGAAUUGGAAAGGAGAGAAAGUUAAAAGUGUAAUAAUAAUAUAAUUCAGACAUAGACAAUCUUCAUGUUGAUAGCAAGUACCUUGUCUUCUGAAAUCCUCCUGCCAGCUUUCCUCUUUGAUUUUGUCGCCACAUUGCGUAGUUCUUUUUGUCUUUGCAUACUAUUGAAAUGUUUGCGAGCCAACCAUCCACGAACCGCUGCAACAAAGAAAAAUGAUGAUGAGCCUCAAAAACACUAUCCAAAAUCUUUAGUUUACCAAAGAAGAUAGUGCGGCUUACCAGAUUGCAAGUGUAUGACUGCACUCAACUCAUCUGUGCUUGCUUCAGAAACAGAAUCCGCAUGGAAUUUUGCUUCAGUGUCAAACAAUCUUCGGGCAUUUUCACCUCGUAUAUAUGACUGAAGAACCAAUGUUACUUUCCGCAUAUUUUGGAAGUAUGCACGAGACAAGUGACCACGGAAAUGCUUUUGUAAGCCCACUAUGCCUUGAAGAACCUUUUUCCUCCGAUCCUCAAAGAUCCCAAUCUAUGAAAAUUUGAAGAAGAGUACAUAAGAAUUGUAUCGACAACAUCAGGAAAAAGCCUCUAAAUCUCUGCUUAAAGAAUCGCUUACUUGUCCAGUUCGGAGGUACAAUUUUGUGUAACCCACUUGAUACAUUUCAGGAUGAACGUCAUAUUGUUUCAGAACAGCAAUUGAUACGCUCAGAGGAUCCUGAGCGACCUUUUUGUCUGACAAUAAGAAACCAUAUCUUCCUGCAAACUCUUGAUGUGUCAAACGAGUAGGAUAUCCAGAUCUUGAUAUUCUAACAACUUCCAACACGCCACAACAUCUAAGCUGUUGUAAGACAAGAUCCUCUUCAUAAACUCUGGGAAGCUGCUUUGAAUUCGGCUUUAUGCAUCGAAUGAAGUGAGGACUUGUGUUCUCUAACUUGUUCAUCAAUUUGAAAAGUUGACCCUGUAGAGAUAAUUUAACAUGAGAUAUGCAAUAUGACACGCGGAAGAUUGCAACUUAUUCAAAACAGCAGGAUUCAAGCUUCUUUACCUUGAACUUUGUUCCAACAGUUUGGUUCGUGGAGUCCGAUAACAUAAGUGGCUUUUGCGAUUUGCCACGCAUUUUAGUUGAAAACAAUUUCAGCAACUGGCAGUCGCAUGAUGAUAAAAGAUUGAUAAGAUCAGCAGGUAACGGAUCCCUGUUCUUCUCCAAAAAGCCAUUUGUAUCAUAGAGAACCUGUAAACAAAAUCAUCAUUCCAACAAAACCGCCAUAAGUACACGAAAAGUUGCACAAAAUCAGUUCCGUAUAAAACCUAAUCAGUAUGCAGAGUCUGGCUUUUGAGCUAAAGGAAUCAACUGACCUCUCCAGCAUAAUGAUUAACUCUGAAGGCUCGACCUCUCUCUCCUUUGAAGCAAGAGUUGGUCUUCAAAUGUUGCUUGAGCUUGUUGGCAAAGGUCAAAUCAGUUGCUUUUGGAAAAUUUGAUUCCUCGUCUAGUAGAGACAACAAACCAAUUGGUUUCUGCACAAGCAAACAUAUGCAAGAUAUUACUUUAAAAUAAUGUCAGAAGGUCCUUAUAAGACAACGAAUACAAACUGUGGCAGGCCAUUAAUUACCUUCUCAAUUAGAUCUAAGCACUCUUGAUUGUCUACAAAUUCGACCUUAGUCCAAUCAAUUCCAUCUUCUUCAUAUUCCUGAGCAGAGAAAAUAAUGUUUAAUGAAGCAGCAACGCAAAAAGCACGCAUUUAGUAUUUCAUUUACACAAAGAAAAACCACCUCUUGUUCAAGUUUAAAUAAAUGCCGGUUGAAGUGUUGCUGCAAUCUUUCAUUUGCGUAGUUUAUACAGAAUUGUUCAAAGCUGUUAUUCUGAAACCAAGGAUAAACAAAUCAUCAUCGCAGGAUUCAAUGAGAAAAGAGAUUAGUAAAAAUCUAGAGCAGAUAUGGGUACUACUAACCUUAAAUGAUUCAAACCCAUAUAUAUCAAGGAUGCUUAUAGAUCUUCCUGUACGUGAUUUACCGACUUCCAAUGCAAUGUUUAUUUGCUCAACAAGCCAGUCAAAUAGGUUUGCAUAAAUAAAUUUUGCUAUUCCAUCCCUCAUGUCAGUUGCCUGUAAGUGAAAACGGUUCAGCAACUCAUACAUCACCUAAUGAUCGAUGUAUAUGAAAACAAGUAGCAAGAACGAUGACACUAUUAAACAUUACCUGCCGCAAUGUCAGUUUUUUAGCAAUACAAUCCGUACCAGCUUGAAGUUUACGGGUGGACAAAACCACCAUAAGCUCUUCUGUGUUGCAGCCCAUUAACAUAGCGGCAUUGGCGACAGCUGUAAGAAAUAACAGCCAAUUGGUAAGCAAACAUCACGACGUUAUAGUUUUUGUAAAAUUAAGACAGUAGAUUCUACCUUCAUCCGCUACCACCUCCACAUGAUUUUCGUUGUCAGUAACUCGAAAAGAUACAUUUCCUAGCCACAACACUGCUGCAAGCAAUGCAAAUGCCCUCUCUUGAUGCUCUUUAGGGAUUUGAACAAUGUCAAAAGCUUCCUGCAUAUAUACAGAUAUGGUUGUGAGAAAAAAAAAAAAAAAAAAAAGAGAGAGAACAAAAAUUUGACAAUGGAAACAGACUGGAAAAGAUAAAACAAUUACCAGUAGUUUGUGAAAUUUCUGAGCAUCAUCAACACCGGCAAUGGUCAAGCAAUCACUCUGGCUCAGGUAGGUAUACUCACUUGCUGUUUUAAGCUUCAAUCUCUCUACAAAUAAAACCAUAGAUAUAGUAGUUAUCCAAAAUAGAAACUAAUCAGGAUUAGAUGUGUGACUGUAUUCUACUUCAGUAAGGACACGUCUAAAGAAUGUUAUAUGUGGCCAUACUUAAGAAUUGGGUAUUAAAGUUUCGAAUGUUACCUUUAAGAAUCGGUGAAGCACCUGCACACAGCUCAUAAAAUAUAUGAUAGGAUCUUUCGCCAUUGAACAGCUGAACCACUCUUGACUGGUCAAACAAGACUACCAAUUUAAUCACCAAUGCUAAGUAGUUAAAGUCAAAUGAAAAAAGCUUCUCAAUGGAAACAAAAGUACCUUCUCUAGCAGAACUAUGGGGAUUCAGCAAGAGUAGUUAUGCAAAACAUGGGGAAGAAGACAAUAAAAACAAGUGAGCUUGCAUACUAAACAAUAUGACAAACAAUAAUAUAAAUGCUCAAAUCAUACUUACAAGUUUCAAGUUUGGCUCCACAUAUCUUUCCCAUUGCACUAAAAUGAAUUUCUAUGAGUUUACCCUGUGCCAAUUAAGAUAUUCUGUUAAAUUAAAAUAGAAUAACUUCUCAGUCUACAAAAGUGGUGGUCAAGCUAAUCAAGUAACACAUUAAUAAUAACUUGAAAAGAUAUGGAAGGGGAAAAUGGACAAACAAGCUUGUAAAAAUAACUCACAAAUCGGCUAGAGUUAGCAUUUCUUGAUGUUUUAGCGUUUCCAAAAGCUUCGAGUAUGCAGGUUGUUUUUAGGAUUUCAUACUCUACUCCACAGCUACCUCCACCGAGAGCUGCCAAGUACUGCAUUGCAAAUUUUGCAGUCUCAGUUUUCCCAGCUCCACUUUCUCCACUAUAGAACGAUAAUAAUCAAUUCAUCGUUGAUGUUAAUACCAGCGAAUUACAUCAAUGAUCAAUAUUCAUAUAUAAAAGCAUUCAGAAGUCUACAAAAUUCAGAAUGCAAAGACCCGUACCUUAUUAUAAGAGACUGAUUCUUCUCUUCUGCAUGUAGAAAGGUUCAACAUGUAAGUGCAGAUACUCACUGGAAGACCGAUUAGGACUUCCCAAAUCAUGGAAAUACGAAAAGCGUGAAUAUAAAUGCAUCUCCUCACCUCUCAUCAUCUCAUCAUAAGCUGCAUCCGCCACAGCAUAGACAUGUGGAGCAUCCAUAACCUUCUUCUGAUAAGCUGAGAUAACAUCAUUUCCAUAAAUUUCUACAUUCUUGAAUGGAUUGACCGCAAUCAAUACAGGUCCUGCUUUACUCUGUAUAAGAAAAACAUGAAAGUUCUUUAGGAAUUAAGCACCAAAGAGUGAGAAACUAAUCGGAUGAGCCAAAUGAUGUUCAAUAACUCACAUAAAUCACGUCUUGCAAAUAUCUGACACGAAGGUUAUAAAGAACAGAUGGUUCAUUUAGAUAACUGAGCUGUAUAAGAUCUUCAACACCUUCCAAUAUAUCUGGGUUUGCAGGAAAAAGCUCUUCAGUAGACACUUUCACAACCUUUGAUAACACCAAAUCACAGAAACCUGAAAGUCAGACUACAGAAACUCUUCAAUAUCACAGAUGGAAAGUGCAACAGUGUUAAGAAAACUCACAUUUGCAGUGGACAACAUAACAAGCGACGUAUCAGCGGAAGUAGACUGUAUCUUCCCCAGUUGCCACUGCCCAUUAGAUACCCGACACCAAACUCGAAGUUUCUGAAAUACAAUACAAACACAGUAACCACAAGUUGUCAAUAAAAACGAAAUUCCAGAGCUCAGUUUUUCAUAUCUAAUACUACACUAAACACAACUGUGACACCUCCAAGCAAAGCUAUCUACCAAGUACAAACAUAUUCCAUUUCCCAUAUUCUAAUCAAUCUAUUAAGCCUCUUCCACAGAACACUCCCAGGUUAGACUUUUCUCACCACAAAGUUCAAAAACUCACUGCUCAAGUCACCUCUUAAAGACUCAUUCCGAAUCCCAUCCCUUGGAAAUAACUCAACUUCACUAGGAAAUAAAGAAUUACCUUCUUGAUGAAGUACUCAACGUUAUUGUUCCACUCAGACUCAGGCUUAUUAUGCUCCUCCGUGUUCUCCACCAAACUAACUUUAGCGAUACUAAUCUUCACACCCUCCUCUUCCUUCUCUGCUGCAUACGGAGACUCUGACCUAAGACCAGUCCUCAUUUUCUUGCUUCCAAAACUAUUCCUCUUAACACCCAAAUCCUUCUCUUUCCUCUUCACCCCUUCCUCUUUCCUUUCCGAUUCAGCUUCCACCGCAGGCGUCACAGAAACAACACUUCCGUUCUGAUCUUCCAUUACACUAGAAACAUUAAAGUUGGCCGGAAGCGAACGACGAGCAGAAGGAAGACGAGCUCUUGAAUUAGGCCGAGAAGGAAGCGCCGGAGGCAUAUCUUUAGGCCGAUCACACUCAUCUUUCUGACGAAGAGACUCAAGCAUCUCCUCUAACGAACUUUUCGCUAGUGUGUUCGGCGAUGCCGAUAACAUCAUUCCUCAAUCACAGACCUCAAAAACUGAAUCAAAGUUGAAAACUUUCUAAAAACCCAACACCAGAAAUAAAUCAGAAAUCUCUUGUGCUGAGUCUUUAAUUGAGAAGCAUUUCACGCAAUCCAAGCUUCCAUAAAACCUAAUCUCUCAAAUCACACGCCUCGUUAACCAUGCAUUACUUCCUCGGAACCAGAGAAAGAGCUUCUUGGGAAAGAAAAAAAAAAACUAAAAAUCAGAAAUUCAGCGAAUCAACAUUUGUAAAACAAUCUCGAGGCUCCUCAUACAUUUCUCAUGAAUGGAUUUGAAGAAGGAAAUAAAAAUUGAAACUUUAGAACAAACAAAAAUUCUGACUUAAACGAGAAAUCAACAAAAACCUGAUCUUUACACAAACCCAGAAACGAAGAAGAGAAAAUGAAUUGAAAAGGAAAGAGGGAGAGCGAAACUUACGAGGUCAAUGGAAGAGACAAAGACAGAGAGUCUCUGCUUCUCAGGUUAGUUUGUCAGAGGGAAAACAGGAGAGGAAGAAAGAAAAAAACAGAUUUUUUCCUGGGGAAAUUUUAAAACCCUAAGAUUUUCUUCUUCUCCUGAGGAGAUUAAUGCGGAUUUGUUUUCUCGAAAAGAUGCAACUUUUUGGGAAAGAAGAAGAAGAUAAAAGAGUAAUGAAUAAUCCUCUCUGUUCUUCUUCCCUUCUUUCUCUUCGACCAACAACAAAAAUUCAAAUUUUUUGUCUUUUUUUUUUUCUCUUUGUUCAGACAAAAAAUGGGUCCGAAUCUGAAUUAUAUUAAUGACUCAAAUUUUCAAAAUUAUUUUUUAUAUAUUUGUGAAAAUAACGUUGGUCACAAAAAUAAAAGGUGUUAUUAUAUGCAUCAUUAACGUUCUAUAAUUUGCCCCUGUGUUUUUAGAAAAUUACCAUUAAGGUGGAAUUUCAAAUUAUUAACUAGGAAGUAAAUACUCACUUUAAUGUUUUUUCUUUAUACAAGUCAUAAAAUCUUCAGGUAGUAAAUCAUCCCAUUGGUUAGUUUUUAUAUCAUUUCAUUUAUCUAUAUAGCAUGUUAAUCUAACUAUUUUCUAACACUAAACUCCUGAUUUUGCUCAAAAUAAUCAAAUAUGUGUGUCUCCACUUACUUUAAUUAAUUUUAUAUUUUAAAGGUCGUUAUAUCUUUUAUUUUAUUUGGGUCAACAAAGUUCAAACUAGCUCUAAGGUUAUUUAAAAUUUGAGAAUAAAAACAAAUGUACUAAUUUAGUGAACAUGAAUAGACGUUGCCUCAAUAUUAAAAAAGAUCCACAAAUGGCCAAAGUCAAAAAGUAUUUGUUAUAGAACGUGACACGUUGGAGGAGGGAAGACUGGUCGUUAAGGGGCUUUGGUUGAUCGAAAAUGACGAUAAUAUCUCUCAAUCAAGGCGCUCACGUUAAUGUCUCAGUUCCAACUACCCCCCUUUCAAUUCUUUUCCACAAACUCUCAAGUCUCACCCCUUCCUUUGUAGUAGGGUUUGGAUAUAUACUUUUAUCCGUUUAUCCGAUAUGUUAUGUAGAAGUUGACCUUGUAGUUUGGUAAAAAUUGAAAAUCUUUGUUCUUGCAAGAAUCUAUUACAUAUGUUCUAUAUAGAUUAACAUGCUAUAUAAUUGUCACUUAACAGUUAUAUUUUAGUGGCUGGUAUAGCUAUCCACAAAUCCAUAACAAGUCGAUUUAUCAUAUAUAACUCAUUAACUAUAGCUUAUCCACAAAUCCGAUCUUUCUUCGAAAUAGAACUGCUAACUGCCUUAUCAUUCUUUACUUCGACGACCGAAUAGAGACCUUCCAAAAAAAAAAACUCAAUUCAACCGUAAAUAGAUUUUUUAAAAAAUACUAUAGAUAAUAGGUGACGGAUACACGAGUUUUUUAAUUUGAGUUUUAUCAUGAAAUUAUUGGGGAGUAAUGGAAAUAGAAAAUGAAAAGAGUAAACGUGGCUUCCGCUAAUCUAGCAAAUAAAAGAGCACUUAAUUAGCUAAAAAGCGUAAGAGCGAGUCAACAAUACAACCCGGCUGAACAAAUAAGGUGUCGCAGUUUUUUUCCAUUUGGAGCUUAACAAAGUUAAGAGACCAAUCGACAACAAAACAAUACUAAUACAUUAACUGGUCAACCUUUUAAUUUGUUCAUGCCACGAAUUGUUUGUUUUGAUGUGCUCGACAUUUAAAAUCAGAUAUAUGUUAGCCUUUAUGAAGAAAGUAGACUCUAAUUAAUUUGUAGCUAUAUAAUUUCUUACAAUUUAGUUAGACAUAAAAGAUGGAAAAUGCAUAGUGGAACUGUGAAUGUUGUAGCUAGAGACAUGAUUGGAAAAUAAAUUAGAAUAUUAAUAAUUAAGGUCGGACACUAUAUUGACAAUACCAAAUAGUCACAGUACUUUUAAAGUAUUAUGAUCAAUUCUCACUAUGUGUUCUUUUAAUUGCAAGCGACAUAGUUUUGUAGCUAAUUUUGAUGUGAGGUCAAGUAGAUCCAACUACAAAAAUUAGAGAAGUUUUUAGGUAGAGAUAAUAUGAUCGUUAUUAUUAUUAUUUAAUCAGGGAGCUUCAACUUCAAGUCAAAAUCUAGUAAAUAACCAAAAGAAAGAAAAUAUACGUCUAGUAGAAAAAAUUAACAAUGAUUAACAAUUAAAAAUCAAUUUAUGACCUAAAACCACGUACGUGUAGGAUGAUGACAACUAGAGCUACACUAGACUAGACUAAGAUUAUUUGGUUAUUUAAAAAUUCUUGUAGAUGAUUGGUUAUCCAAAAGUUUUAACUUUUCAUGAAUCAGUAUAAACUUUGAUUCCGCUGGCGAGUCUUAUCACUCUAUCAAACACAUUGUUAUGUAGACUAUAGUUGAUUGUUAAUACAUAAUUUAAUUUCAAUCAAAAUUAACAAUGAUUAGAGUGUAAAUCUUUUAUCAAGCAAAAUUAAAAAUACAAUGAUUAGUUCACGUCAAUACUCGCCGAUCUCAAGGGUAUGCAAAUAUUGCGCAAUUAAUAUAAAAUGAUCUUGGUGCGGGUAAUAAUUCUACACACACACACCCGUAAGUAUUUUCAUAAGAUCAUUUCAUAAACACAAUAUUGAAUUUUUUUAAAACAUGUCUACAUUCAAUGUUUACUUUUGAUUUGGAGUAUUAUUUUCGUUAAGUUAAAGUAGACUACUUUUGAUGUUUGCGGUCCAAUUCAUUAAAAAAGACAAUGAUGAGAUGUGUUUGCUUAAGGUACGUGAUUAUGAAUGUACAUAAUAAUGCUCGUGAUUUUUAAUGUGGCAUGUACAAAUUUGCAUCUUCUUAUUAUCAGCCUUCUUACGUCCAAACACAUUAAAGAUCACUAUAUUAUGCUUGUGUUGUAAUACAUUCAAUAGUUGUCUAUUUAUAACAUCAGCGGCUGUAAAUUGUAAUCGGCAAUUGAGUUACUACCACUUCGCUAAAGUUAUUGUUCUGAUCAUAACAAUAUUUUCAUUUUUAAUUUCGAUUGGUAAUUUUUUUUUUUUUUUUUUAACCUGAGUGACCAAAACUCAGAUUAACCUUCCAAACUUCGUUAAAAAAAAAAAAAAAAAAACUUCCAAAAUUCAUAGAAAUUUGGAUUUUUAUUUGAAAACAUUGACUACUAGUCUAAAAUGUUUGAAUUAGCAGUACAAAAUGCUCUAAAUUUAUUUAAAAAGGACAUUCAACUUUUUUUUUUUAAAUCACUGGACCACUACUGAUUAAUUUCCAUCGCUAUAUAGAUGCCUUUUUUAUUAUUACUAAGAAAUUUUUUAAACUAGAACAUUUUCUUACCAACUACCGAUGACAACAAAUAGAUAUGCAUCUUUUUAUAAGCGCAUUUCGAUAUUUAUGCAAGGCAAGUUAAACUUUAAAAAAAAAUAUUUUAACAGAAAAGUCAAACUCCUAAUCUUUUUUUCUACUCCUUAACCCCUUUAAAAUUUAUAUACCCCUACUUAAUUAAAUGGCCAUAUACAAUACAAAAUAUUACACCAAAUCAAACUUUUUUAUAUAUUCAAAUUUCAAUAAUGUAAGAUUUCUCUAGUUCUAACUAUAGACAAUUAUAUACUUUUUGUUUAUUUUCCUUAAAAAUGUAGACAUGCAAUGCGAGGAGUUAAAUGCUUUGCAUCAUUGAGCAUGAUGGAAAGGGUAAUAUCUUAAUUUAUUAAAAUUUCUGACAUAUCCACAAGGGAAUGUCCCCAUUUACACUCAUGUCUCUUCAUGUCUAUCCCAAUUCGUUUGUCCUAAAGUCUCUGACAUUCUUCUUCUUUUACCUUUUCUCUUAAAAAAACAUGCUUCUGUCUUUUUUCUUGUUUUGUGGUUGUAGUGGCGCUUGUAUUCGAAGUACGAGAGAAAACGUAAUUCGCCAGUUCGCCUAAUUAUCAAAUUUAUCAGUUUGGGUUUAAACUUUGAAUUGUUCUGGACUUGUUGUAACCGCAUAUGUGAUAUAUGUGCAUAGAGGACACAUCAACAGGACUUGAAUCAACGUCUUAAAGAUUGAUCUACUACGCUAAUUAACAGAGAAAACGACGAAAAAUGUUUGAAAUUUUAGUUUUAUCACACAGUUAAAGUUAUCAGUAAUAUUCCCAAGCAGACCAAUCAUUUCAAAGAGUGAAUGGUUCCAAAAUAAAAUCAUAUUCUAACUGGAAUUAUGGAUUAAGUUAUAUAUACGCAUCAUCAUAUGCUCAUUAAAAUUUUGGUAAAGCUAUUAUCGCAUGCGAGUUCAAGAUUUUAGCGAUAGUUACGUUGCUAGCUCAAUAAAAAGAAAUUCGUUGGAUCUUUAUAUCAAAUAAAUCACGAUUAUUGAACUUUAUGAAUUGAAGCAACGUCUGAAUAAGGAAGAAACAUGUAAUUGUAGUCUAUACCGUUCCAUUUAAAUAAUUUAAAUGUUGGAUAAGAUACUUUCUUUAAAUCCAUAUGCAUAUCUUAAAAUUGUCCCCACGAACCGGUGUCGACCACAACUUUUGAUUUUAAUACGUGUGAGUGAAUGUUGGCUAGAAAGUAUAAAACCUAAAAGUGGGCCAAAGUAUCUUUUACAAAAUUGGGUUUGUUGAAAAGUUUGGUAAAAUCAAGCUAAAUAUAAGAUGACAACUGAGUUUAUGCUUUUAAAAUUUCACACUACUCAUUAGCCCACUCAACAUUACUCAUUGUGCGAUGUGAUAUUAAUUACAAUCAGUAGUCAAAUUUAACCCCCCAAAAAAAUAUCAACGCAUUUUCUAAUUUCUUCUUAUUUUUGGUAGUUUAAUGGGCUUGUAAACAUAAGCUUAGUACCAUGUAAACAACCACAAUUAUGCUAAAGAUUGUUGCUGAUCGAUUAGCCCUACUAUUCUAAAUCUUUGUAUAUACACAAUUUGUUGGUUAUCAGAUUGGAUCCAUAGUGACUUUGUACACUCCAAUCAUUAAUAUAAGUUAAUGGGCCUUUAUAGGCUUUAAAAAAUCAGCCCAUUAGUAUAUAUCAUUAAAUAAUAAUGGAAAAUUAGAAAAGACUGUGAAGCGAGAGGACCGUUAAGACGACGGACGCUUAUCUGGAAGGAGAGUCAUGAAUCUGAGUGUGAACCGAUGCAUCACCGGUGGUUUCGUCGGUGGAUUCUCUAGCUGCAGACUCAAUCAUGGUAGUGAUGAUUUGUUCUUCUGAUUCAAUUUCUAGUUUUAAAGAGAGUAAUUGAGCAAGAUGAAACUUUUAAUCUCUUUGGGAAUUUUGAUUGAAGAUGAUGAUGUAUCGUUCGCAUAGCGCUUGGAAUUACUGUGUUUUGAAUUCGGGUGAUGAUCAUGAUAUGAAAUUGAAACUGGGUCGCGUUGUCGUUUUAGCUACCACAUGUUUAGUUAUCUUCUUUGUAACGUUCAUUUUGAAAUGGUUAGAUUUAGGAAGCUGAUUAGAACACUGACGUUUGGGAAUAGAUUAUUUUGAGCCAUUGGGUCAUUAUUGAUGAGUUUGAUUUCUCUCCAUGGACUACAGAGAAAAGGUGGGUUCGUGCUGGCAAGCACUGUGAGCUUGAGAGGGAGAGAAGUUUAGUGUCUGAUGCUGUUUCUUUAGAGAGGUUAGAGAGCAAAAGCAUUAAACUUGCGAUGCUUGCUAGUGGUUUAGGAGGUAAUGUUGUCACUACUCUCUUCUCACCUCCUUCAUUCUGUUAUUGUUCUGUGGCAUGUAUCAAAUCUUUUAGUCUUGAGGUAAAUGCUUAGUUUAUGAGGAUAUGUGUUUUAAGAAGCUAGCCAAUUAUCGUUAAUUAUGUUUCCAAACAUCUGAUCAUGAACACUUGAACUUUAUCUUGGUUUUCCCAGUGGCGAACUUGGUAACUCUUAGCUCAGCAAAAGCCGCAGACUUGAAGAUGAUUGUCUUGGUAAGGUUUAAUCAUAGAUUUUGAUAUUAUUGUUUAUAUACUUGUGUGCUUUCUUCUUUUGUUUCUGUUACUGUAGACUAGUUCAAUUAUGUUCCACAUCUUAACCUGAAUAGUUUAUUGAGAUUAUGUCAAUAAGUGUUUUUUUUUCCUUUUCUCCUUAGACCUUGGUUAGGGAUUAUAUCUCAAUAUUUUUGUUUGGAACGAAUUUGUGCCUAUGCUUUUCUGCCUUGAGAUACGUCCGAUUGCUUGUAAAAUCAGAAACUAAUUUCCCCUUAAGACAGGAUCAAGCCACUUCCAUUUACAUCUUGGCUGAAGGAAGCCUUGGAGAUUCGGUCGGGAACUUCUUGUAUUCAGCUAACCAACAGGCUAACGAAGCUGUUCAAGAUCAACUAUCAGCACUCAGUGUAACAAGGUAUGUUUCUCGGGUUCUCUCUCAAUGAACGCGUUUCUGAGACCUUGACCAUCAGGUUAUCCUGCUAAUUUAUCCCUGUUGUAGUUUGGCAGUAAUAUUUGGGGCAGGCCUUGUGACAAGUCUGUCUCCAUGUACACUUAGUGUUUUGCCGUUGACACUUGGUUAUAUUGGUAUGAUAACUUAUCUCAAGAUUUUACAUUUCUCACAAGUUAUUUAGAAUCUUAGUUUGAUGUUCUAAUUCUUUCCUCACCUGUCCUUCAUAUGGCUGUAACAUAUAGGUGCAUUUGGGUCUGGCAAAAGCAGAGGUCAGGUUAGUGGCUCUUCAGAACAGAUUUUUAGAUAAUAGCUGUCGCCUUAGGAGUUGGUUGGAUCAUUGUCGUUGCAGAUUGACAAAAUUUAAAAGAAGUUAAAGUUGAGUUCCUGUAAACAAAUCAAAGCUCCGUUAAAGGAACAAUAGACCCAGUCCAAUCAAAUGCAUCAUGUUUUCAUUCACAAGUAUAGUAGUUUUUAGUGACCUUUCAGUUCUUCAUGCAUUUAGGUUAUUGGAGAUACAGUUGCUUUCGCACUGGGAUUAGCAACUACCUUAGCCCUUCUUGGGAUAGUAGCUUCUUUUGCCGGAAAAGCCUAUGGACAAAUAGGACAAGGAUUACCAGUAGCUGCAUCCGGUCUGGCUAUUGUAAUGGGUCUCAAUCUCCUUGAGGUAAUUUUUGCUACAAUCACUCUUUUUUCAUAUUGCAUCAAUCAGAAUGGAAAAAUGCAUUAGAUAAUGGCCAUGUCUAACAUGACGUAUUUCCUACAGAUAAUCGAACUUCAGCUUCCUUCUUUCUUUAACAACUUUGAUCCUCGUGCUGCAGCAGCAAACUUCCCAUCUAGUAAACCUCCUAGCACACAAAACUUUCAUGGUUUUUUGGUCAUUAAAUCUUGUUUCUUAUACUUGGUAACAAAAUGUUCUGUCAGGUGUACAAGCAUAUCUAGCCGGUCUCACAUUCGCACUUGCUGCCUCACCUUGUAGUACUCCAGUUCUAGCCACUCUUCUUGGUUACGUGGCUACUUCCAGGGUAACUCCAUUUCGUCUCCUUCCAUUUGAAAUGUCAUUAUCUCAAAUAUGAACAUGAAAGCUAGUUAACUUUCCGGCUUUGUUUUCAAGCUUUUAAGAAACGGUUUAAGUUUAGCAAAAAGCUGAUAUGGAUAAAAUGUGAAAAACAGGAUCCAGUAAUUGGUGGAAGCUUACUCUUAACCUAUACAACAGGUUACGUCGCUCCACUUAUCGUCGCUGCUUCUUUUGCCGGAGCUUUACAGGUAGUUUCUUUUAAAACCAAAUAGCGAAAUGCAAAUUUCUUAGUUAAGUUUCUUACAGUAAUGAAACUAACUGCGUAUUUACUCGUCUUAAAAUUUCUUCAGAGCUUACUUUCGUUGCGAAAGGUCUCUGCAUGGAUCAAUCCCAUAAGGUAUGUUAAAGAUAAAUGAUUAUAGGCUAUUGCUUUUUCAUAUUGUUGAUUUACUAAAUCUCGGUUCCAUUUUUUCCUAUGUUUUGGUUCAGUGGUGCUCUUCUACUUGGAGGAGGUUUAUAUACUUUCUUGGAUAGGCUUUUUCCUGCUGCUACUAUGGUCAUGUAAAAACUUAACUUACAAACUCAUUUCGGCCAAAAACAAAGUGUUUGUAAUAGUAAAUAAAUAAUAUUGUUUAUAAUGUAAAAUUACAAAAGAAAACAGAUUCGAACACUAGUCACUACUCACUACUGUUAACAUAUAAUCCUUCACUUGUAACCACACGAUUAACGUCUCGACCCCAAAAGAAACAUAACAAUCAUAAACACAAUUUUUGCAUUAUUUUGAAAUUUUGUUCCCCGGAAGAAGGAAAAAAAAACUCUUUUAAGUGGUUGUAAAAAAGAGUCAAGUCAACUUUUGCGACUGUGCCGUCAUUUUUCUCCUUCACCGACGCCUAAGCAAAAACCACGAAAAUUUACAAACGAGUCCCUCCAUUUACCAUUUCAUUGUAUUUAGCCAAAGAUUCUAAUCUUUGCAAUCUCAUCUCUUCGUUAAACUUCUUUAUAAACGCUUCAACGCGCCGAUUCAACUCCUCCUGUCCCGGCGACGGCUCGCGUUUCAACACCGUCUUCUCCUCCGUGGGGGUAUUUAUGUCCUUUAAAUUCUCGGACUUGGUCAUCUUCUCCUUAUUUUCUGGUGAGCUUUGCACGUGAGCUCUUUCUUGCCACGUGUCGGAUUUAGUCAAGUGCUUAGUUAACGGCGUUGAACGUCCUUCCGUUAUCUUCUUCCACGUCGUCUCCAGCGUGUCUUGUCUCCUCGGUGGCUUCGUCACUCCCAACGCCGUCUUUUUAUUUCCACCUGUAUAAACAGUGACAACUCCUCCGUCAUUUUACGAUUUUGCCCUUCUCAGAAAAUUCGAAUUUCGAGCAAAAAAAACUAAAUUAUUUUACCUUCUGAAUUAGAUUUAAGAGAUUUUUGCUGAUUAAAUCGCGGCGGUUUUCUCGUACUGUGCUUCAGAAUCGAAAUCUCCGGCGAAUCAUUCUUCAAUUUUGGCUUCUCCGUCUCCGGUUCCGGCGAAUCGCUACUCUCUUUCGACUUCUCCGCCUCCUGAACUUCUGGAAACUUCCGGAUAGCCUCCACCGUUGGAUUAAUCGACACGUCAUCGAUUUUCUCAACAAAUCCGGUAUAAUCAGAAACCACAUGAACCACGUUUAAAUAACCGGAAUCGAUAUCAGAAGGUAAAUGAACCGGUACCGGUAUCGGUAUUGGAGUCACUACUUCCGAGAUCUCAGAGUCAUCGACGGAGGACGAUUUAUGAGUGAGUUUAGAAGUAGCGAUGAUGCAGACGAUGAUAGAGUUGAUGACUAAGUAAAGAUACGGUGGUUUUAAGAGGAAGACGGUGUUAUCGUAAAUAAUCGGAAAGCAAGAGACUACGAAAUGGGAAACGGAAGGGACCGUGAGAAUCAUCGCCGUGGCAAUAGAUGAAACGCCGGCGAUUACGACGGUGGCCGUCGUUUUGAAGGAAGAGGUAGGGAGAAGAAGAGGCAUUGAGAAUUGAAUUGAAUGAUGUAAUUUGUUUUUGCUUUGGGAAUUUCAAAUUUUGUUAGUUCGGUGGUUCUUAUCUACGAAAAUAAACUAAAGAAGCUUUGAGAUGUGUGGAUUUAUAUAGAUACGGUGAAAUUUAUAAAUUCUUAAAAAUGUGGUCCGUGUUUGUGUGGGCUUUUUACAGAAUCAUAAGUGGGCCUUAUUUAUUGAGGGUAUGGUUAUGGAGGCUUAUCUGAGUGACACGUGUCAGUUUUGGGUUUUGACGUUUUAAGUUAUAAACUUAUAAUAUAAGCUUGCCUAACAUUUGCAACAAGAUUUUGACAAUAGAAGUACAAUAUUUUAUGCAUUGUGUGUGAUUAGAGAAUUUGAGAUUCGAGAAUCUGCCACCUACGUACCAAGUCGUACCGUUGAUUUUUGUUUUUUCACUUGGCAACAAAAAAUUUAGUCGAUUGUGUCUUCAUUUUAUUUAUUUUUUUGGGGAGAAAUUUCGAGUCUUCAUUAGUUCAUUUUAUGUAUGUUAGUGUUAAUUUGAGUUUAGCCGAUCUAGAAGAUAUUUGUAAAUGGAAAUAUUCUUUUUUGGUUUUGUUAUUGUAAAAUUAUAUAAUUGUAAAAAAGUUAUGGUUGCUAGCAAAAAAAAACAAAGUAGUUACUGUUGAGCUAGGAUUUUUAGGUAAUGUAGGCCAUUUUUCAUUGACAUUGUAAAAUUAAUAGUUGAAAGUCAUAGUGAGAAUGCGAAUUAUGAUGCAUGUGAAUACUGUUUUAGAUAAGGACAUGCAGAUUGUAACAUAAAAUAAUUGAGAUAGAUGCAUACGUAUAUAUCAUUCUCAAUGCUAAACGUUCAAUUUUGUUUUCAUAUUAGUGCUUAUAUUAAUAGUAGAUUUGAUUUGACAAUUCAAACUCACGAAAGAUAUAUAUCGCAUUACGGGUCAACAAGCACAACAAAAUUCUACCGACCAUUUUGGAUUUUUGUACUUGAUACUGAUUGAUCUUCUUAUGCAUCAUAAAUAUUGGCUAUAUCCUCUACAUAGUAUAAUAGAACUUAAACUUUAAACUUCUGCCCUAAGGUCGGUACAAGUCCGACAUGGUAUUUUUGUUAUAAUAACCAAAUGAGUAAUGCUAAAGUCCAACGUGGUGUUUUAGUUUAUGUUUGCAUUAGAUCAAGGACGAUGUACGUGUAAGAGAAAACCAAAAAAAAUGCAAGAAAAUAAUAUAAUUAAAUACAAUGUAGUGCACAACUUCAUUUGUUGUGCUUUGUGAUCAAGCGAGGAUUUGUAGAAAUGGUAUUUACAGAUUUACGUUGUCAUCAUUGAUUACAGUUUUGCAUUUUGUAGCUAAUAAAACAUCUUGUAACGAAAAAGGUAAACAAAGGUUGGCUAGUGGGAGGUACACAAGCUUGUGGUGAAGAAGGAGGAUGAGCUUUAAGCCAUUUGACCGAAAGCCCGACAAUGCCAAACUCAAAACUUUAUAACGCUAAAACAGCCGCCCAUAACAAGAAACAAGUUCAAUAUCAACACGUCGCCUUUAUUGAUCUUACCAAUAAAGGUCGAUUAAUUUGUUUUCUUUCAAAGGCUUUUCGGAACCGUUUCUUUGUUUUGCUUAGUUCCAAAAAAUUGGUAUGUCACAAACUUCGUACCAAAGCAAAUAAAAGCAGUAAGUGGAAGAGAACAAUCCACGUUUUGUGGCGGUCUCACCGAUAAAUCUUUUUUUUUUUUCCUUUCUUAGCAAGAAUUACAUCUAUUAAUUUUUCGACAAUCGAGUAAAAUCAUAAAUCAAAGCUCGGCUACAACACAGUUCCAAAGAAAAGAAAAUAUAUGUUUAACAGAGAAAAACUGUCCAGAGAUGAUUGUAUAUAUAUUCUUUUGGUUCUUCAAAUUUAGAACAAAGAUGUAAAGGCAAAUUCAGAAAAAGUCUCUCUCUCUUGAUCAAUGUUUUGUGAACAUUCCAUCCAUCAAGGAAGAGAAAUCAAAGUCUUUGCCUGAUUGUGAAGAUGGUGUGGUGCUUGUUGGUUGGGUUGCGGAUGAUGACUGAGGUUUACCGGUUGAGUUUGGGGUCAUACCGUUCACUUGAUUAGCUUGACCCAUUGUGUAGAAACUGCAUUAUUAAUAACAACCAAAGAUCAUAUGAGAGUUAGUUAGGUUAAGCACUUUUGAUAACGUUAUGAUGUUUUCAGAAGAAACAAACAAGAUGCAGUUUUGUGUGCAUACCUGGAUGAUGGGUAUUGUAGAGUGUUCUCUUGCGGUUGUGCGGGUCUCGUGUUCAUGUUUGCGUUCAUAUUCAUGUUCUAAAAUUAUGGCGAUGUAACAGAGAGCAAGAAUUAGUGAGAAUUUUGCAAGAACUUUGGUCAAUGGUAAUAUUGAUCUUGCUUAAAAAAAGUAAAGGGGAGAUCUUACUUGCAUAAGUUUCUGGAGAUCAGCUUGACCACCUACGGGGUUAGUCAUUCCGGGGAUCUGGUAGCCGCCGGGGUUUGACCAAUUUGCAGAAGCUACGUUAAGAGCAUUAGCAAUAGCUUGUUGAUUCACGCCGUUUGGAGUGCCUCCAGCAGCUUUCGCUGCAGCCAUGUAAAGGGCUUGCUGCUGAGCGAGCAUAGCAACCUGUUGCUGAUGCAUGGCAAAAGGCGAUACUAUAUUCGUCUGUAAUCAAAUAGAACACACAGAGUUAUAUCACUUGAAUCUGCUCUGGUGUUCCAAAUGUCCCGUGUUGAAGAAAUCAUAGUAAGUGAUAACAAAACACAAAUCAUAUCAUUCGCUAUAUUUGUAAAUGUAAGUUAAAUAAUGAUACAAAAACGAAACUUGGAAAGCUGAAUAUCAACAAAGCAGUGAAAUCUGAGAAGCGUAUAUAAUUAACUAAUAAUUUACCUUCUCAAACAGGCUCAUGAUAUCGCCUUUCACAUCUUUUGGUGCUUGUUGAGUUGUUAAAUUAGGUGUGUCCUUAAACAAAUCCUCAAAGUCAGAAGAUGAAGCUGGAGGAGAACUGCUCUCAGCAGGCUUGGCUGUGACAAUUUUCUCUGCCGUUUGACCACUUCCAGCAGCUACAGUUUUAGGAUUCAGAAAUUAAUCUAUUACUCCAAAGCAUUUUCAAAAGAAGAACAAUUGACAUAAAGUUAACAAGGAUAGGAAAAAUGUGCCACGAUGUUAGAUUAUCACAUGCUAGAUAGAUACAUACACUGAAAGCCAGCCCAUGAGUUAUCAUCGGCAGGAGUAUCGCCAGGAGUUGCCUCUGAGGUAUUUGUAGUCGAAUCAUCCAUUGAUAGCAUGUUAAACAGAUCAGUAGCAAAAUCCACCUUUGGAGGAUCUGAUGCUGGUGCAACAUUUACUGCUUGUUUCUCCCUCUCUACUGGAGUAGCUGCAGACUCCAUUUUCUGCUGUGGCUUUAUAACCUGUCAUUUUUAGCAUCAUGUAUCAGAAAAACCAGGGUUUGGAUACUGUAAGAAAGACACGUUGACAGAUUAUGAGGCUCUAAAAACACAGUGAGUAAAAUAAUGAUCUGACAGCUACAGCAUAUGCAUUGACAAAAAUAAUGAUCUCAUAGCUGAUAUCCUAAGAUUAUUAAAUAAGAUCAAGGAAUACGGAUCCUUAAUACUGAUGAGUAACUAAAGGUAUGGCUCUUUAGUUAUACAGAUCUUCUGAGAAGUAUGUUUGGUACCUGACUGGGUCCUUGGGGAGGCACGGGAAGAUUUAUUCUCGUUGCAGCAACAUUAUUUCUUGUUCUAGAUGCUGGAAUAGUUUUCCUCUCCUCAAACAAAUUUACAGGACUACUACUAUGUCCAUGCUCAUAUCCCGGCCCACUUCUCUCCACAGAUUUCCGCCGUUCCUGCUCGACUCUAGGAGGUGAUCUAGCCUUUUCCCCUCUAGAAACCCAUCUCUUCUCUUCAUACCUAGAAAAGUCAUAUGUCAUAAGAAUGAUUUCAACGUCCAUAUGAAUAGCAAGAUAGACAAUUCAAUGAGGUGGAACUAACUGAAAAGUUUGUAUAAUGAAAAAGAGAGAUACAUACUUUGCACGUAUAAAAUUCUCAAUUCCAACUCUAUCAUAGUUUGGGGGUAGCUCUGCUUCCCAGUAACUAUUUGCUUUAUCAUUUCCCAUUGCUGCAUGCAAAUAAAAGAUUAUAUACUUUACAUUGCGUAACAACCCAUGAAUCAGCCAUAGAGCAUUUAGUUUAAAAGACACUUACACUGUAUAAAUGCAACCUGCUCGGGGAGCCAUGUGUCCAGAGUGGCAGAUCGAACCUGCACUCAUUAGCCCAGUCAGGUGUUUUGGUAGAAAAUAAAGUAGCUUAUGCUGCUAAGGUUAACAUCUACUUGACAAAAGGACACGGCUCAUACAAAAAUCAGAGGGCGAAAUCAAAUCAUGUACUUUUGCACAGAGUUGCUUGAAGUUCGUGUGUAAACUGUAUCGACGACAAUGGGAGUACAAGAAGGUGGGGAGAUUUAAUGCAUUCAUGUCAAACUUUCCAGCUCUUGUGAUGGAAAAUACAAAAUGAAAUUGCUAAUACAAAAACCAAAUUGAAAAUUUGUGCAGAGAAUUUGAGCCAAAUGGAAUGAGUUAUUCAUCGAAUUAAUAUCUGAGCUUUCGUAAAAAAAUGCAGCAUCAAGAAAACAAAUGUAGAAAGGAAAGUGAGAGACUACCUUCGAUAUGUGUACCCCGAGACUCCUGUGAAUCCCAGAACAUUGCAUGCAGAUAAAGAUACCUAAAUUAACACUAGCCCAUCUUGGACCUCUGCAAAGCAAAUGGAACAGUAUUAGCAAAUACAUACAUGAACCAGCAUAAUAAUGCUGAAAAUUCACAUCAGGUAGAAAACUAUACUUUGUUUUGCAGUCAGCACAUUCUCUGUUCUCUGGAUGUUUAAGAAGCCCUUCAAGAAUCUGCAGAUAAGUAGCACCAAAAUCAAAUGAAUAUUCAAGCAAUAGACUACAUAAACGAAAAAAUCAUACGUCGCAAAACAUAAAGAAGAAUCUACACAUACAAAAUAUAGAGUAUCUCAAGAAAACUUCAAAAUUAUCAGAAUUGACAUGUUUAACUAACCAAAAUGAAUCAAAGUUCUCAUUGCAGUAUGAGAUAAGUUUCGUCAAUGAAUGAACACCAAAGUUCUCGAAGACUCGACAUACAACAUCAUUCCUAAUAUCCUAUACAUGUAUGCAUCACCAAUCCCACAAAGCUAUCCCAACUACAACUAAUAGUUUCAACAUGGCAAAUAACUCAAAGACUACCAAGCACAAAUGAAAAUCCCUAUGGGACGCUAAGCUCCUUGGAUCCCUGUGUUCGAUUCUUUCCAAAAUCAAACAAUUGAAUACGAAUUUCUAUAGGAAAACACUAGAAUUCAAGCUCCAUGAAACUGUAACAUUCAAUAAGCCGACGUUGAAUAUAAAACAAUUCAAAAACCCGAUCGUGAUCAACUAUUGUCCUAGACAACAAAUCGAAAUAGAGAAACUGAUUUUCAUUGCUGAUGAAUAAUAAUUCUAGCUCAAUCGAUCGAAGAAGAUAAGGAUCGACGAUACAAAUCCUCUCCUAACUAGAGGAAACCGAAGAAAAUGAAGGAAGGAUAGCUGCUAAUGCACAGAUCCAAUCGAAUUAAGAUCGAUCAUAUAUUGUUGGCAACCAAAUUCAAAUAUAUGACGACAAAUCCACAAAGCUCGGAGAAAAUAAAAUAAGAGAAUCUGAGAUUCGAGAUUAGAGAGAGACCUUUCUAUGGCGGGCAUUAAGCUCCUUAGAGACGUUGGCUUUCUCGUUCAUGGCGGAUAGAUAAAAUCAAAAGAAGGAGAAUCGGAGAAAGAGGAAGAAGAAGAGCUGAAGAAAAAUGAUCUACGGAGACGACGAGGUCAAAAUAGUCUUUUCCGCCUUCAGCGCUCUUCAAUAUCUCUCUCUUCUUCUUCCUCUCCGAAAAUUAAAAAUCCUUUUUUCUUUGCCCUUUGAGAACGAGCGACCAAGAGAGAGAGAUGGGUCAAUACUUUUUGGACCGUUCAGAUUAUGGUACUGGUUUAUUAAUCCGGUUUUAGAUUUCAUUUUCAAAAUUGAAUAUGGUUCGGUUUAAUUUCAUUUCGGUUUAAAUUUUCAAAAAUAAUUCGGUCACUCGUGAUUGCAGCACCUGAAAAUUUUCAAAGAAAUCUACACAUGAAUAUUUGUGAAAGUGUAAUCAUAUAAAAUUGGUUAAUUUGUGACUAAGUGGGUUUUGAUUUAUCAAAAAUAAGGUCGGUUUAUUUGGCGGUUUAAGUGGUUUUUUUGAUUGGUCAUAUAUAAGCAUUAGAGUGUUGCGGGUGGAAAAUAAAUCACAUGGCCAUCUCAUCACCUGUUAUGUCUGUAUCCACUUUGGAGUGGUUGUUGUAUUGAUUCCAAUUUCUUUGUUUAUUUAUGUGAUGUUUAUGGGACAUAUUUUAUUUGCUAAGAUUUUUAUUUGAUGUGACGAUGAGUCAACGAAUGUUCCAACCAACACAAAUUUCAAUUUAAACCCAAAAAAAUAAUUAUAUUAUUAUCUCUUAGAUUCCUAAUUUUUCAAACUGAUAUUUGUUUGUCAAUACGAACUAUAAUCCUAACAUUCGACAAACUCUAAUUUAAUAGGUAUACAUUAGGAACUAUAAUACAUUGUGUGUGAAUAAACCUAAAAAAGUUUUGUAGUCUAAUGAGAAGUGGUCUCUCGCUGGCUCUAAACCUCAUAAUCGGUUUGGUCUAAGUAGCACCUUUACUUAUCUGUAUGUGGAAUAUCAUCGGGAGUUAUCACAAAUAUAAUCCCAAAGCCUUUUGAAAUUUCUAACUUCUCUAACUUCAUCCACAUAUAUAUACUUUCCAAUUUUGAAAAUAUAUAGAUCCACUUAGUAUAUUUCCAUUUUAAGUCGCCAUUAGAAGAGAGUUAUGCUACCAACUUUGGCAAUUAAUAUGCUUUUUAGGGGAUGUGACGUCGCGAUUAUGAUGGGAUGAGCUUGGAAAUAUAUGAUCAUCAUAGCCAUCUCUCUUUGUUAUCAGUGCGAGGACCAACUUUUCAGGAGGAUAUUUGCACAUCUAGAAGGAAGAUUUUUCUCAUAUAGUAAAUAGACGACUGCUUAUUUUUGCUUCUCGAAUUACUCUCCAUAGCCUCUCUUCAAGUAUUCUCAGAUCUCAAACCCUCUGACACGUAUAGAGACUUCCCCACAUUUUGCAAACUUUAAUUUCUUCUUAAUCAGACUUAGCUUCAAGCUUUAUCUCAAUCAUGUACAUCUCACAUUGUUUUUCUAAAAUUUGAGGAUAUUGAUUCUGGAGUAUGUAUUGUUAUGUAAAUAAGUAUUUAUAAUUAAAUCAAGUAUAUGGAAAAUAUAUUCGAAGAAACAAACUUCAUAUAAUAAGGUUUGAACGUGGUUAAUUAAAAUGAUAUCCAAUUAAGAUUGUAUCGGAUCUUGGUGGUUAUUUAUGUGAACAUCUCAACAACUAGGGUUUUGUUUUGUUUACUCUUUCUUAUUUGAUUCUCUUGCAGCCUCGCUUUCCCCUAAAACACUUCUUAUCAAUGGCGCUGCUUCUCAACCAACCCUUGAAGCUACUAUGCUUUCGGAGGAAACCUGUGUUGGUGAGAUCAUCUCCUCUUCUCUCUAAUGAUGGCUUAUCAUCUUCUUUGCUGCAAACUCCUCCUUGUUUCGUCGUCAGCGCUAAACGUUGUGGAAGACUUGCGAAAGAGGGAAAACUCGUGAUUUUGAAUCCUUAUGAAGAUGAAUGCACUUC
RNAcentral lists this long non-coding RNA (24727 nucleotides) under Arabidopsis thaliana (thale cress). Its description in RNAcentral is "long non-coding RNA (ATHA_LNC000491)". The record is from RNAcentral. Lineage: Eukaryota; Viridiplantae; Streptophyta; Magnoliopsida; Brassicales; Brassicaceae.